CAGUCGCCGCGGUAAAACGGAGGGUGCAAGCGUUAAUCGGAAUUACUGGGCGUAAAGCGUGCGUAGGUGGUGGUUUAAGUCCGUUGUGAAAGCCCUGGGCUCAACCUGGGAAUUGCAGUGGAUACUGGGUCACUAGAGUGUGGUAGAGGAUAGUGGAAUUUCCGGUGUAGCAGUGAAAUGCGUAGAGAUCGGAAGGAACAUCUGUGGCGAAGGCGACUAUCUGGGCCAACACUGACACUGAGGCACGAAAGCGUGGGGAGCAAACAGGAUUAGAUACCCCUGUAGUCCCUGUCUCUUAUAC
RNAcentral lists this ribosomal RNA (301 nucleotides) under uncultured bacterium. RNAcentral's name for it is "partial 16S ribosomal RNA". It matches the Rfam family "Bacterial small subunit ribosomal RNA", at positions 509 to 807 of the family's 1533-position model. The record is from RNAcentral.